Non-coding RNA from Camellia sinensis, 525 nucleotides. NCBI's taxonomy places the organism in Eukaryota, Viridiplantae, Streptophyta, Magnoliopsida, Ericales, Theaceae. The record is from RefSeq and is a predicted model, not a curated record.
AAUUUGUGAAGUUAUGCAUCUAAGUUAAGCUAAGGGCUAAUUUGUGAAUGUGUGAACCCAUCAGGCCAAGGGCCAACCUAUGAAGUUAUGAACCGACAAGACUGUCCUUAAAUGUGUACAGAAUCAGACUAACCACAGGAUUUUUGCAUUUACUUAUCUAAUUAGAGAAAUGUGUACAUUGCACUCCACCUGGAGGUCAGUUUUAACCCAUGGCAUCCGUGCCUCUUUUGUCAACCUCAGAGUAUCCAGGCACUUAAGUGAAGGCAGCCCUUUUUGCUAAACUUUUGAUUUUACACUCUGAUUGUUUGCUUAAGGUUGAUGUAUAUAUAAUUCCUUUGCCUAUCCAUGUUGUUUUAUGCCCAAUUUUAAGGGCUGGGUCUGUAUAUAUAUAUGUACAUAACUAACUCUCUGGUGCACGUCAUUGUAUGUUUAUUUGCCUUAUGUUCUGUCUGUGAUCCUGGCAUGAUAGUGGUCGCUCAAUGGAUGCAGUUCUUUUAUUUAUGUUAAUUUAUAUUGGUAAAUGCU